Molecule: ribosomal RNA, 465 nt
Filed under: uncultured bacterium
Lineage: Bacteria
Description: bacterial SSU rRNA
Rfam family: Bacterial small subunit ribosomal RNA
Source: RNAcentral
AUUGAACGCUGGCGGCAUGCCUUACACAUGCAAGUCGAACGGUAACAGGUCUUCGGAUGCUGACGAGUGGCGAACGGGUGAGUAAUACAUCGGAACGUGCCCAAUCGUGGGGGAUAACGCAGCGAAAGCUGUGCUAAUACCGCAUAAGAUCUACGGAUGAAAGCGGGGGAUCGCAAGACCUCGCGCGAGUGGAGCGGCCGAUGGCAGAUUAGGUAGUUGGUGAGGUAAAGGCUCACCAAGCCUGCGAUCUGUAGCUGGUCUGAGAGGACGACCAGCCACACUGGAACUGAGACACGGUCCAGACUCCUACGGGAGGCAGCAGUGGGGAAUUUUGGACAAUGGGCGCAAGCCUGAUCCAGCAAUGCCGCGUGAGUGAUGAAGGCCUAGGUGUAAAGCUCUUUACCCGGGAUGAUAAUGACAGUACCGGAGAAUAAGCUCCGGCUAACUCCGUGCCAGCAGCCGCGG